This 281-nucleotide ribosomal RNA is filed under the name Blastocystis sp. Its description in RNAcentral is "partial small subunit ribosomal RNA". It matches the Rfam family "Eukaryotic small subunit ribosomal RNA", at positions 252 to 538 of the family's 1831-position model. Lineage: Eukaryota; Bigyra; Opalinata; Blastocystidae. The record is from RNAcentral.
AAUAAUAACUAAUCGUAUCGCAUGCUUAGGUAGCGAUAUGUCUUUCAAGUUUUUGCCCUAUCAGCUUUGGAUGGUAGUGUAUUGGACUACCAUGGCAGUAACGGGUAACGAAGAAUUUGGGUUCGAUUUCGGAGAGGGAGCCUGAGAGAUGGCUACCACAUCCAAGGAAGGCAGCAGGCGCGUAAAUUACCCAAUCAUGACAUAGGGAGGUAGUGACAAUAAAUCACAAUGCGGAACUAUUAGUUUUGCAAUUGGAUUGAGAACAAUGUACAAAUGUUAUC